This 75-nucleotide transfer RNA is filed under the name Candidatus Woesearchaeota archaeon. RNAcentral describes it as "tRNA-Thr". It matches the Rfam family "tRNA". Rfam says of the family: Transfer RNA (tRNA) molecules are approximately 80 nucleotides in length. Their secondary structure includes four short double-helical elements and three loops (D, anti-codon, and T loops). Further hydrogen bonds mediate the characteristic L-shaped molecular structure. tRNAs have two regions of fundamental functional importance: the anti-codon, which is responsible for specific mRNA codon recognition, and the 3' end, to which the tRNAs corresponding amino acid is attached (by aminoacyl-tRNA synthetases). tRNAs cope with the degeneracy of the genetic code in two manners: having more than one tRNA (with a specific anti-codon) for a particular amino acid; and 'wobble' base-pairing, i.e. permitting non-standard base-pairing at the 3rd anti-codon position. The record is from RNAcentral. Lineage: Archaea; Nanobdellati; Candidatus Woesearchaeota.
GCCUCCGUAGUUCAGUCCGGUUAGAAUGACUGCCUCGUAAGCAGUAGGUCGGGAGUUCAAAUCUCCUCGGAGGCU